RNAcentral lists this non-coding RNA (22 nucleotides) under Arabidopsis thaliana (thale cress). The record is from RNAcentral. Lineage: Eukaryota; Viridiplantae; Streptophyta; Magnoliopsida; Brassicales; Brassicaceae.
CAUCCGCUUGUUCAUUUUAUGU